This 621-nucleotide ribosomal RNA is filed under the name Ganoderma australe. RNAcentral describes it as "eukaryotic LSU rRNA". The stretch from base 214 to 367 matches the Rfam family "5.8S ribosomal RNA". The record is from RNAcentral. Lineage: Eukaryota; Fungi; Basidiomycota; Agaricomycetes; Polyporales; Polyporaceae.
AGGAUCAUUAUCGAGUUUUGAAUGUGGGUUGUAGCUGGCCUUCCGAGGCAUGUGCACGCCCCGCUCAUCCACUCUACACCUGUGCACUUACUGUGGGCUUCAGGUCGUGAAGCGAGCCCUUUACCGGGCUCGCGGGAGCGCAUCUGUGCCUGCGUUUAUCACAAACCCUAUAAAGUAAUCGAAUGUGUAUUGCGAUGUAACGCAUCUAUAUACAACUUUCAGCAACGGAUCUCUUGGCUCUCGCAUCGAUGAAGAACGCAGCGAAAUGCGAUAAGUAAUGUGAAUUGCAGAAUUCAGUGAAUCAUCGAAUCUUUGAACGCACCUUGCGCUCCUUGGUAUUCCGAGGAGCAUGCCUGUUUGAGUGUCAUGAAAUCUUCAACCUACAAGCUUCUUAAUUGAGUUUGUAAGGCUUGGACUUGGAGGCUUGUCGGUCCCUGUAGGUCGGCUCCUCUUAAAUGCAUUAGCUUGGUUCCUUGCGGAUCGGCUUGUCGGUGUGAUAAUGUCUACGCCGCGACCGAGAAGCGUUUUGGCUGAGCUUCUAACCGUCUUGUUAUAAAGACAACAUUAUGACCUCUGACCUCAAAUCAGGUAGGACUACCCGCUGAACUUAAGCAUAUCAAU